AUUGAACGCUGGCGGCAUGCUUUACACAUGCAAGUCGAACGGUAACAGGGUGCUUGCACCGCUGACGAGUGGCGAACGGGUGAGUAAUGCGUCGGAACGUGCCGAGUAGUGGGGGAUAACGCAGCGAAAGUUGUGCUAAUACCGCAUACGUACUGAGGUAGAAAGUGGGGGACCUUCGGGCCUCACGCUAUUCGAGCGGCCGACGUCUGAUUAGCUAGUAGGUGAGGUAAAGGCUCACCUAGGCGACGAUCAGUAGCGGGUCUUAGAGGACGAUCCGCCACACUGGAACUGAGACACGGUCCAGACUCCUACGGGAGGCAGCAGUGGGGAAUCUUGGACAAUGGGCGAAAGCCUGAUCCAGCAAUGCCGCGUGCGUGAAGAAGGCCUUCGGGUUGUAAAGCGCUUUUGUCUGGGAGCAAAUCCUGGCCUCUAAUACAGGUCGGGGAUGAGAGUACCAGAAGAAUAAGGACCGGCUAACUACGUGCCAGCCGCCGCAGUAA
Molecule: ribosomal RNA, 500 nt
Filed under: uncultured bacterium
Lineage: Bacteria
Description: partial 16S ribosomal RNA
Rfam family: Bacterial small subunit ribosomal RNA
Source: RNAcentral